UUGCCAUUUAAAUCAUUUAAGUAAACUACAGAAAUUUGGAAGAGAGACAGUGUUUGUGACAUCAAAGUCCCUACUUUCUGCCCCCUCCCCCUUUUUACCCCCAAAAUAGGCUCCAUGCCCAGCAUGGAGCUGAAUGUGGGGCUUGAACUCACAACCUUGAGCUGAGAUCAAGAGUCAGAGCUUUAAAAAUUAAAAAAAAAAAAAAAAAAAAAAAGGGAUCCCUGGGUGGCGCAGCAGUUUGGUGCCUGCCUUUGGCCCAGGGCGCGAUCCUGGAGACCCGGGAUCAAAUCCCACAUCGGGCUCCCGGUGCCUGGAGCCUGCUUCUCCCUCUGCCUAUGUCUCUGCCUCUCUCUCUCUCUCUGUGACUAUCAUAAAUAAAUAAAAAUUAAAAAAAAAAAAAAGUCAGAGCUUAACCCACUGAGCCACCCAAGCAUCCUCAAAUCCCUGCCUGUGCUGCUGUGCUGUGUCCCCUGGUACUGCUCUCAAUGGAGGAGUACAAAGAAACGUUGAGGCAGUGGUGGUGGUUUAAAUUAAACUUCCAGGGAGUGCUAGGUUUCUAAGGACAGACAGUAAAAUAUUCAUGUAUAAGGAAGAAAUUGUGCUGAGACAUGCUGCAGGGAAUGUGGCGGAUGUUGUGGCAAGCAUUCCUCCUGGAACUGGAAGCAUUCAUUCAUUCCCCCAACAGCUGGCAGGUUAGAACCACCUCACCCAAGAGCAGCUCACACAGAUUAAUUACUUAAUGCGGGAUGAAGGCCUAAAUCCCUUGCCUCAACUCUGAAGGGUCACCCGGUUCCAGAAUUCUGUUACAACUGCAUCUCCUCCAUCUUCAGCCUGAUCCUAUUUCCUUUGCUCCUUGGUACACCUUCCACAUGCAAGUUUCCAUUUCAUCGUCUAUUUCUCAGGAAAGAGGCCUAUAAGGCAAUAGGAAAUAUAACAAAACACAAUAUGGUAUAUAACAAUGAUAUGAGGGAGAUAAAACUCUGCUUGGAGAAAACCUUGAAUUCCAUGCUAGGGAAUUUGGACUUUAUCCUGUGAAACAAUGGUUUCCAGGGUGGCUACAAGAAUACUCAGGGGUACAGAAAGAAAACAUUAUUUUUCAUAUUUAUACAAAUGUCUACUCUUCAGUUUUAUAAUAUAGAAAAUAUAUUAGUGAAGUAGUACAAACACACAAGGAUACUUUGGUAUGUGCUCUAAUUUUUUUUAAUAGAUGUGUGCAAUCAAAAAUUGAGACCACAGUUAUUGACCCUGGGAACAAAACACAGUUUUGGUUUUGUUUUUGAGUUUCUUUUGAGAAUAAAGAUAUGCACAAGAUAAAAAUUAGAAUAGUGGUUCUCAACCUUCAACCCAGGAGAAUUACCUGGGAACUACUAAACAAUAUUGAUGGUCAGGCCCCACCCCAAACCAAUUUAUCAUUCUCUGGGGGUGCGAACAAAUAUCAGUAUUUUUCUUUGCCUUUGAUGAUUCUGAAAAAAGAUUUCAAUUACCUUUAUGUUGACUUCAAACUUUCUAAUUGAUUAACUUUUUCUUUCCAGCUUCUCCUUCAACUCAGGCAAAAGACCCAAUAGGCAAAGCAUCCCUUGAUGGGAACCAAAACUACCCCCUCAAGCGUUAAGAACUGCCUCGAGCCAGCAAGACCCAUGUGGAUUGACCCCAAGACAGUGGUAGAUUUGGCUUUACUGCCCACCUGCAUGGACUCGCCCACCUCUGCCACACAUUUUCCUAAUAUAAACCUGAAAGUGUUAUCAGCACUUUGGAGACAGUCUUUGAGGGCUUAAUCCACUGUCUUCCUGGUUUUGGCCUCACUGAAAUCCCUUUUUCGCUUCACCACCACUUGUUUCUCUGCCUUUGGAUUUUGUCACAGGCAAUGUCCAUUUGGGACCCCCAGAGCCAGGUACUCUUGCACCCCGGCAUCCCAGCUACAGUUCUAAUGUUCUGGGGUUAAGAACCACCGAUUAAGACUUAGAAUUAAAGUUUGAUCUGAAUUGGCCAAUAAAACAUUAUAAUUCUUUGGGAGAGAGAGACAGACAUAGACACAGACACAGCAACAGAGAUGGAGAGAGAGAGCACAAGAGGGGAGGAGAAUGAGAAGCAGGCUCCCCUCUGAGCAGUGAACCCAAAGCAGGGCUUGAUCCCAGGACCCUGGGAUCAUAACCUGAGCCAAAGGCAGAUGCUUAACCAACUGAGACACCCAGGAGCCGCAAAACAUAAUUCAAGCUAUUAAAGAUCCUUAAAAAGUAACCAUCUAGUUACAGGGGAAUACAAGCUCAAGAUUUAAGAAAUGCUUUCACCUUAAGUAUUAGAUCUGUAUUGGAAAUAAACGUGGUUAUUUUCUCCACAUUUUGUUUACUUCCUUAUAAAUCCUAGCAGUCCUACAAGUGGGAAGAAAAGAGCAACACACCCAUUAAGCAAACCUUUCAUGUUAAACCACUUUCUUAUCUGCUAGAAUAUGAGUGAGCUCUCAGCCUCUCAGCUUGUUUUCCAAGUUUACACAAUAAUAAAAUACACACAAUGACCCUCUUACUCUUCCUCACCAGCUGAUUAAUACUGAUUAGCUUUGAAAUGCAAAUAGCCCUAUCAAAUAGCAAGCUGCUAGUCCUGGCCUGGGCUAAAACUGUAUUGGAGUGAAAGCCAAAACCAUUUGAUGCAAAGACAAUAUAGUCCAGCUAAAGGCUCCUCAGAGAUCUCCCAUGAUUUCAGGAUUAUAUUCAGGAUAUGAAAUUCUUUGUACUGACAAAACAUUAUCUUUACUCCUAAAUGCAUUAACCCUUUGCUGAUCAUUAGCUGAAUUUUCAAAGCAAAGAUAAUGCUUUCAGCAUUUGUGUUUACAACAAAAAUGACCAGUAACAGCAUGAGAGAGAAUUUGUACAGAACAAUCUAGGCAAUUACGUUAGGACCACUAUUUGUCUUAAACAGAGAGUAACAACUUUAAAGCAGCCGUAUACCUUUGAGAUUACCUAAUUAAUUCACCCUCUCCAGUUUACAGAUAAGCGCCAAGAUCUAGCAUGCCUUUCCCAGGUCGGUAUUUGGGUUGGAGGAAACGGGGUUGGGCUGCCGAAUGUAAAUUCCUGGUGGGGUGGAAACUGGCCUGGCAUGGUCAGGCGGGUGUCAAACCAGCUGGAGUCCCUGGCCUGAAAUUCAAGGCUCCCAAGGAAGGAGGAGAGGCUAAGCAGGGCCUAAAACAGGAUAUCAAGACUAGGGCUGAUUUCUCAAAGCAGCAGGAGGGGAGGAGGCUGCGGUCAGGUCCCCUGGCAGCCCACAAUAAGCCCCCCAGAGAGCCAGGUGCUCAGGUCAAACUGGGCAUUCCUCUGGGGCCACUGAUGCCAAGAAACCAGAUUAACAUCUCAGUGGGAUAGUUUAGAAAUGAUUUAGGCUUUCGAUAGAAAAACAAUGCCUGCCACAAGCUAGGGAAGCCCCAUCCUGUUCCUUUCUCCUUAAAAAUAUGUACUAUUAAAAUUAUCUUCCUGGUGGUUGCCAGGGGCGGAGGGAAGGGGAAAAUGGGGAGUUAAUGUUUAAUUGGUGCAGCUUCAGUUGGGGAAGAUGAGUAAGGUAGAAACGGAGGGGAGUAAUGGUUGCAUGAUACUGUGACUGUCUUGCUGCCACCGAAUCACUUACAAAGGGUCUCUGCCUCUCUCUCUCUCUGUGUGACUAUCAUAAAUAAAUUAAAAAAAAUUAAAAAAAAUUAAAAAAAA
RNAcentral lists this long non-coding RNA (3689 nucleotides) under Canis lupus familiaris (dog). Its description in RNAcentral is "lncRNA (ENSCAFG00000050695.1)". The record is from RNAcentral. Lineage: Eukaryota; Metazoa; Chordata; Mammalia; Carnivora; Canidae.